GCGCCUGUGGCGAAAUUGGUAGACGCGCUAGACUUAGGAUCUAGUAUCUUCGGAUGUACAGGUUCGACUCCUGCCAGGCGUACCA
This 85-nucleotide transfer RNA is filed under the name Akkermansia sp. RNAcentral describes it as "tRNA-Leu". It matches the Rfam family "tRNA". Rfam says of the family: Transfer RNA (tRNA) molecules are approximately 80 nucleotides in length. Their secondary structure includes four short double-helical elements and three loops (D, anti-codon, and T loops). Further hydrogen bonds mediate the characteristic L-shaped molecular structure. tRNAs have two regions of fundamental functional importance: the anti-codon, which is responsible for specific mRNA codon recognition, and the 3' end, to which the tRNAs corresponding amino acid is attached (by aminoacyl-tRNA synthetases). tRNAs cope with the degeneracy of the genetic code in two manners: having more than one tRNA (with a specific anti-codon) for a particular amino acid; and 'wobble' base-pairing, i.e. permitting non-standard base-pairing at the 3rd anti-codon position. Lineage: Bacteria; Pseudomonadati; Verrucomicrobiota; Verrucomicrobiia; Verrucomicrobiales; Akkermansiaceae. The record is from RNAcentral.